UUUUCCCUGCACUGUUAGUGAUCAUCAGCGUGUGUUGAGCCAACUCUCAAGAAUAGGGUACCUCCGCUGGUAUCUUAAGGAGGAUCGCUCGCGAAUUUCCUGACGUUGCUAUGAGGAUGCCCACCUAUUAAUUUAGGUUUAACUGUCCUGGCGACACGGCAGUGUGGGGAAGGU
RNAcentral lists this non-coding RNA (174 nucleotides) under Desulfobulbaceae bacterium S3730MH12. RNAcentral describes it as "6S RNA". It matches the Rfam family "6S / SsrS RNA". Rfam says of the family: E. coli 6S RNA was the first non coding RNA to be sequenced, but its function was unknown until recently. Lineage: Bacteria; Pseudomonadati; Thermodesulfobacteriota; Desulfobulbia; Desulfobulbales; Desulfobulbaceae. RNAcentral also lists the same sequence under 2 other names. The record is from RNAcentral.